ACAAGUACCUAACCACUGCCAGUUUUAUUUCACCACUAUUUUUUCUCAUUAUAGCUAAUUUUUAAGAACUUUUUGUUACAAUCUGAUGUAAAAGAAUAAUGUUUUAACACUGUUUCGCGUGUACAGUAGAAUACACAGGUCUCUAGGUUGUGAUCCUAUUUACAUUAGUAAUUGGAUUAUGAAAUAUGGGGUCAAGAGAGUAUGACAAGUUUAUAUGUUAUUUAAUUAUUUAUUUAUAUUAUUUGUAGCUAGUAACGACAUGCAGGCUAUGUAAUUGUGAGUGGUCACCACUGAUCGAGCUUAUCUCAAACAAAUCCUUAGAGCACUUCCCAUGAGAAAAACAUCAAUCUUCUAGUCAGUGAACAUAGAAAUCUGUAUGUUUAAUGGAAAUUAUUACUAAAUUAAACAUGUGUUUUAAGUCAGUAAGAACAAGUCUAGUGAGUCCUCGCUGUUGGAUACCGCCACCAAGUGGGGUGUCUUUCUUCCUCAAACCAGUAAUACAUUCUGAAUUGAAGCGUAGAAUAGCUAUUAUACUAUUCUAUACAAUUGAGGCUUGAUCUCAUAUCUCAGGGUGGGUGGCAGCAUUAUCAUCGUAAUGCCUAUGGACUUUGUAUGUAACUACCACCAGGUGAGUAAUAUGCUUGUUCACUCAUCACCCAUGCAAUAAAAAAAGAGCUCUGAAUCUCCACUUCAGAGUACAGUCUUGACUGCCCCUCAUGAGAAGCCAACUGCUGGUAUAUCAAUUCUUCAGUGCUAUUAUUUGAAAAGCAUGCAUCCAUUGAUAGGAUUGAUCAUUCAGGGUGAAAUGCAUGGAGUAGGGUGUUAAAACUUGUAGAAAGCUACCAUUAAUGGUCAUAGUAGCAGCUAACUGCUUCAUAUACACUGUUAAGAGGAAAGACGGGCAAAUUUUCCUGGGAGUUCCUAGCUUACACGCACCAUCUAAUGUUUUUAGUCCAAAAGAUUGUAUUCUAUUGUGUUACCAUUAAACAUCAACAUGUAUAACCAUAAUACACAAUAUAACAAAUAAGCUAUUAAAUUGUACAGCAGUUGAAUUAGGCUUUCUUAAUAUUGUGGAAGAGCUUUUAAAAUUGGGAGAUAGUCCCAACAAAAAAAUAAUCAAAAUCCUCUUUAUAUAAAAUUUAAAUAGCUUUGAUGCUUAUGGGCACAUAGAGGAGUUUUGAGGUCUUUGGACAUAUUGCCAGAAAGAGAGGUGACAAUUUAUAAAAGCUGCUGGUAACAGGCAAGAUGUUGGUUGGAUCAGAUACGCUCUACACCUCAGUACACUAUGCCAUCCGUACUUCUAAGGAUAGGCAGGGCUGGCGCAGGAUAGUCCAGGAGAAAGUUAUUAAAGGAGGCCACAACUAUCAGCAUUGAGGAUUAUGGACAUGAGGAGGAGGAGGAGGACACUUAUACUUAAUUUUGUUUCACAUAAGUACUAAAGUCGUAUGUAAUAUAAAUUUGGUUAAUAAAUUAAAUUUAAGUACCUGAGAACAAAUAAACUAUAAAUAAUGGUAUAUAAA
This is a long non-coding RNA of Bombyx mori (domestic silkworm), 1520 nucleotides long. RefSeq lists it as uncharacterized. The transcript is spliced from 2 exons. Lineage: Eukaryota; Metazoa; Arthropoda; Insecta; Lepidoptera; Bombycidae. The record is from RefSeq and is a predicted model, not a curated record.